GAGUUCCUCAACUGCAUCUGAUGGUUCACCUCUCUUGCGUAGAUCCGUCACAGCCCUUUUUCACCCGCCAGGGCUCCCGACAAGAAAAGAAAGACUGGAGAGCAGAGGUUGGAGAACAAGGGGACACGGAGACUUCCUCAGCCGGGACCUGAGUGUUCCUGCUCCGCCCUGAGCAGAGCAGCACAGCGUCCAUGCUCGCCCUUCCCGACUCCCCAACACUAGCCUGAGGUGAGGGCGCUUCCUUUCGGCCUGCACAGUGUUUCUGACGGCGACGAAUAAAAUACUACUCUACAGCGGACCUGCGACUGACUCGCAGCAACCUAAAGUCCGGGCGUGACCCAGGGGUGGAGGAUGAAGCGACUGCGACAUUUACCUCACCCUUCUCCGGCCUGGCCGCUUCCGGCCUUUCCGGGUCGCCCAUCGCGCAGACUCCACCAGAGCCACCCGAGCUGAGGAACUGAGCGCGGCCGACCAAAUCCUAGUAGGAUCAGAUCGUCCUGUGCGAACCUCCUCCUGCUCCGGGCACGCCUUGCCGCGCCGGUCCUGGGUUCUAGCCGGCCCAUUGAGGGGCCUUCUCUGCGGUGGCUCCGCCCAGGCACGCUACUCUCGGCGCCUGAAAGAUCCGCCUUUCCUGCCGGCCCCGCCCCACUGCCUAGAGAUCCGCCUACCUCAGCCGGCUCCACCCAGCGUCUCAGAGAUCCGCCUACCUCAGCCGGCCCCGGCCCGCCCCGCCAGAGAUCCGCCUACCUCAGCUGGCCCCGCCCCUCGCCGCCGAACUCUGCUUCCUCGGCUGGCCCGCUUCUCUUCACUGAGCAGGGUCCCCACUCCGGCGACGGCUGCGUAAGUUCAGUCCGCAGUACCAGAGCACUUCAAGCCUGUUCUUUAGCGUCGCAUGACCCCGCCCACUCUUGCUCCCCCAGCUUCCGCGCUGUUGCCCAGCCUGUCAUCUGCUCUGAAUUCUAGAGCGUCUACUGGAAUUUGCAGUCUGCCUACUUGUGCCAGACUACCUGGUACACGAGGUGACUGGCACGCCGGGACAUUCCCUAGCCCUCGUGGUGCCCCAGCGACACGGUAGGUUGCACCCAGUCAGUCCAAGAGACUGCCAGAGUGGCUGUAGAGCUGCCCACUGGAUGGGAUGUGGAAAGCAGGGUGGGAGGUCGACACUGUUAAAAACUCCAAGGAGAAAGGAACUCUUGUAUUUCAGCAACCAAAAGGAGAAACUGGAGGGGGAAAGUGUGUGCGUGAAUGGAGCUUGAGAAUGAGUAGGAAAAAUAGCUAAAUCCUGGGAAAUACCUUGAAGUCUUUGUGAUUGUUUAACUGAGUAAUAUUUAUUGAACUUUCACAACCUGAUAGGUUCUAUUCUGCUAAGCCCUUUAUGUGAAUUAAUCUUUGAGAUAUUUCCCUGUAGUCGAUACUGCAAUUUUCAUGUUCCAGAUUAAACUGAACCCGAAGAUAAAUAGCCAAGAUUAAGCAACCAAAAUACGGUAGACUCCAAUAUCCUUGCUACGGAUACUUUUCAAAGCAAAGGUUAAAGUUGUAAAGAGAUUCAACACUUUUGUAUUGCAAGGGCCAAAGACAGUGAAUAAUGAUGGUGGCAAUACUCUUGGUUGAAUUGCUUCUAUGUUUUCAGCAUAUGGUACAUAUAUGGUAGUACGACAGAAAAAUAUAAUGAGCGGGAUGGGACUGUAGCUCAUUAGGUGAUGAUGUACAAGGCCUUGGGUUCAAUCCCCAGCACUACCCCUUCUUGUAUACAAACACAAAUAAGAUAUACAAAUUAAAUAAUAAUAUGGUGAAAGAAGAGUUGAGUAUGGUAUUGAACACCUCUGAUCCCAGCAUCUUGGAUAGGAGCAGGAGGAUCGUGAAACCAAGGUCGUCUUGGGCUAGAUGGGAAGAUCCAGUCUCAAAGCCAAAAACCAAAAACGUGAAAAAGAAGUAAGAGAUUUUCAGUAGAUUCUGGAAAGAGCCUUGUUAUGACUUCAACAUCUGGCAACUGCUUGGUGGUUAGCCUCUAAAAUAGAAAGCAGGAUAGAAAUUUUGCUUUAAGCUCUAAAGCUUAAUUAACCUGAAGCGAGUUAUCUUUCUUGGAGCAAUAUGAUCAAAUGCUGAGUAAAAACUUUUUAUAUAUUAUAAAGUUUUCUGGGAGGAAAGUCAUUCUCACAAAAGAUAACUUACCAAAGAUUGCAUAGCAAAUAAACUACAAACAAGGAUUCAUUCAUUCAAAGUCAUCAAAACAAUACAUCUCAAAGCAUUUUUUAAGAGUAAUUCUGCAUGAAGGCACGGAAGAGCAUUUAGAUGCAGAUAAGGCGACCUGCUUAAUAGUCCCUGAAAUGUGUUAUUUUGGAAGGAAAUGAAUGCUUAGCGUGGCACAGAAUUCCAGUCUGCUUCCUCAAGUAAGUAAUAUGAGGAAUCCCAAGUAACCCUCCCUUCUCAGAGCACAGACAUGGAGAUGCAUUCCUUCAGUGCUUUCCUGAUGCUCCAUUUGUAUUGAUUUCUUACAACUUUCACAGCUCUGUUCAAUUAGGUCUCUUCAGCUUGCUGAAGAGUUCCACGUGGUCUUCUCACAGGGCAGACAGUAUCUCCCAACCCUCCACUCAGCUGAGUGUGGAUACUGGACAGCACUUUCCCUCUAGUACCUGGAAGAACCUGUUUGGACCUACACUAAAGCAAGGAGACGACUUUAAAAAUGUUUUUAAAGUAUAUGAAUAUUAUAUCUCUGUGUGUGUAGGUAACUAUGGAGUUCAGAAAAGGGUACUGAAUGCCUUGGAGCUGGAGAUACAGGGUACUUGGAAACUUGUAUCUUCUGCAAAAGCAGCUAAUCACCCCAAAUUUGAAGCAGUGGGGACCUCUGUCCUUGGUGCUGAUGUUACUCACAGUAGUCCAAGAGACCAAGAUAAAUCAACUUUUUAUUUUCCAUCACUUCUCAGCCCCUGAGAGACUGAAGUACAAAAGUAACCAAAGACUAAGCUAUAAGCAGUGGUCAUAAACAAAUGCCAUUUUGAUUUCAGAAGCAGACAAGACAGAAAUCACUCCUCUUGCUUAGCUUCACUGAGAGUUGGCUUUCCUAGUAUCGUGGCUUCUCUUCUACCCUGACCUUGAUUCUUUAGCCCAUUCAGAAAGACCUCCAGUGGAGAGGAGGGUUACAUAUUUGGAAGUGUAGAGAUUAGAGCCAAUUUGAAUAGGCUGUGUGCAGAAGAGUGCAAGCAUCACAUAAGGCAAUGGGAAUACAAGAAAGAAUGAGUUAAUAGUUUUAAACAUCAUCUUCCUAGGGUGGGAGAGAUGGCUCAGCUGUUAAGAGCACCAACUGCUCUUUCUAGGUUCAAUUCCCAGCUCCCACUUGGAGGCUAACAACCUUCUGUAACUUAGUUCCAAGGGACCUAACACACUCUUCUGUGCUCCAUGGGCACUGCAUACAUGCAGUACAGACAUACAUAUAACAUACGUACAUACAUACAUACAUACAUACAUACAUACAGGCAAAACACCAAUAUAGAUAGAAUAAGUCUAUUAAAAAGUGGGGGGCAUCUGUGUAAAUGCCUUCACCAGUGAGCAGCUGUGAAGGAUAUUAAAUCAGUAAAUGAGUGAUAUUAACUACAGGUUUAAAAACAUACAGGUAGCUAGGGAAUCAACAAAGCCUUUGGCAAUGGAUUCUUAGUAGGCAGAAGAGUUCCGUUCUAAACUGGACAGCUGAUUGUGCUUCAGUCUAGAAGUGUGGCUCAGCCUUGUAUUUGCUGUUGUAGCUGUGACAUUGUCAAAGCCAUAUUGAAUAAAGCACUUAGCUCAAAUGAAUCAGCAGUCAAUAAUACAGACUGUCUGCUUUAGUUUCAAGAACUGUAUGAAGAACAUUUUCCCACAGAAAUAUUUUAGGCACUGGCACAUCCAGGAUAACCACCAGACAAAGGAAGUGAACAUAGUCCUAAGUUAACGUUGGUCAUCACAAUUCAUUAAUUCAAAAAUGUUAGGUGACCAAGAUUGUGGCUUGAGUUUGCUCCCUGGAACUCACAUAAGGCAGGAGAACCAAAUCCACAAAAUUGUCUUUGAACUUCUUCAUCUGUGUAUUUCAGAUUAAAGACCUUUUAGGACACAGCUUUGGGUAUACUGGGUCUUAAACUCAGCGUUUCACACAUUCUAAAUCAUGUAUUUAUGUUCUACACUACUGCCUUCUUUCAGAGUAUAUGGAAUGUUUUAGUCAAGCUAUUAUACUGAAGCAGAUGUUAGCCUUUGAACUCAAACACACUAAUGUUCAAAUAAUUUAGACCAGUCUAGUGUUACAAAAUGUUUCUCAUAACCAGCGCCUGUGCCACAUUUCUGAACGUUCAUUGCCUUCCUGGCCCUAAGUUUGCUACUUCUACUUACAUGGGGCAGGAAUCUGGUGCUCACACUCCACACCUAUACAUUUACUCUGGCACUUGCUCAGUGCCUUAUUUUUAUUUACUCACUACCCCAAUCCGUUUCUUGAUAGGUGAAGAUAUGUUUUCCUGAGGGCAGAAUUUUUCUAAUAAAAUAUGGC
This 4507-nucleotide long non-coding RNA is filed under the name Mus musculus (house mouse). Its description in RNAcentral is "long non-coding RNA chr15:37960470-37964977". Lineage: Eukaryota; Metazoa; Chordata; Mammalia; Rodentia; Muridae. The record is from RNAcentral.